GGUGUUUGUUAGCUAUCUAGAAGUUGUCCAGGGCUCCCUGAGGGAGGCCAGCACAAGAGCUCUGCCAUAAAAGGACAUUGGACAGAAGUGAAGAGUCCAAUCAGAAACUCUUUUUGAGAGACUGAACGCAAAGCAUUCAGAGAGUCAGCAGGCUGGAGAGGCCAAGACACACACACGAAGAAGGCAGGACACUCUUCUCCUCCUGCGGUUGGACUCCAGGCUCUAUGACCUUCAAACUCCAGGACUUACACCAGUUGCCCCUGGGCACUCAGGACUUCUGCUUCAGACUGACAGUUGCAGGACAGUGCAGCAUUUUAUUUUAAAGAUACCCCACAACGUAGGUGGCCAGUCCUGCUGCAGAUUGAGAGCUGUACUAGCCUGGCAUGCAGACAGCAGCUUUAGAAUCAGAUCUGCCUUCUGGCGGCUUCCCACCUAGGAGCCAUGGGACCUUUGUGAAGUCACCAAUUGUGCUGUGGAUGCUUCAUUUGUGAAGGAGAACAGGACUGCCUUAUGAGGAAACUGAGGUACAGAUGGGAAACUUGCUCAAGUUCACACAGCAAUUAAGUGAUCAAGUCCAAGAGCAAAACCAGGCAGGCUGGCUCCAGAGCUCACGAUAGUCCACCACUGCUUUCCACCAUCACUACGGAAUCAAGUCCAUGAGGAUACUCACCUUAUGUCAGUUGCCUAAGUUGGAAAUUAUAGAAUCUUCAAAUUGGAAGGGACGUUAUCAUCCAAGAUUUCAACUUUCUACUCACUGCAAAAUCCCUUCUGGAACUUCCCAGAUUGAUGAAUUUUCAUCAGCUCUGCUUGAGUACUCCCAGUGACUUGGAAAAAAAACACUGUAAUAUGGAUAUGAAAUAUAAACUGUUCAUGGAUAAAUUAUUGCAUAAUAAAAACAUGCCUAAUGGCUACACUCCCCUAAUAUGUUCAUUUGACUUCCCAGGAUUUAGCAACCAGGGCCUGGAAGGCAGACAAAGGUAACUGGCCCCAUGUGAUAAAAACAGGUUCCUUCUACGUGUGGGGCUUCUCCACUGCCAGGUUCCUGCAGCAAGUAGCAGUCACCAGCACCCAGUGGCCAGCAGCUUCCUCCACCACCUCCUGCUUGACACUGGAGUAAAUUCCAAAACAUGGCACCACCCUGUGAAUAGCUUCCUUGACACCCAAGAAGGUGGGUUUCCAGCAAGUUCUACUGGUGAGGCAUUUCAGUGGCUUGUCAGCCAUCCUUGAGCCACAGCUGCACUCUCUGCAAUAAGAUCUGUUUCUUGCUGAGGGCUUUUAUCUCAGCCCUAGGAGUAAUCUUAUAUCUGCUAUCCUUGUAUUCUGUAGAGUAAUUUAUAUUUCUUACUAGUCAAUCCAUUAUUAUCCGAAUUCUCUAUUAUAGUUAAUAAUUCUUUAUAUUAAACAUUCCCUGUUUGAAUUACU
Molecule: long non-coding RNA, 1422 nt
Filed under: Homo sapiens (human)
Lineage: Eukaryota; Metazoa; Chordata; Mammalia; Primates; Hominidae
Description: HSALNT0078996
Source: RNAcentral